UACGUAGGGAGCGAGCGUUGUCCGGAUUUAUUGGGCGUAAAGAGCUCGUAGGCGGUUCGGUAAGUCGGGUGUGAAAACCCCCAGCUCAACCUGGGGACGCCACCCGAUACUGCUGUGACUUGAGUCUGGUAGGGGAGCACGGAAUUCCUGGUGUAGCGGUGAAAUGCACAGAUAUCAGGAGGAACACCGGUGCGAAGGCGGUGCUCUGGGCCGUAC
Molecule: ribosomal RNA, 216 nt
Filed under: uncultured bacterium
Lineage: Bacteria
Description: partial 16S ribosomal RNA
Rfam family: Bacterial small subunit ribosomal RNA
Source: RNAcentral